RNAcentral lists this transfer RNA (94 nucleotides) under Gammaproteobacteria bacterium. RNAcentral describes it as "tRNA-Sec". It matches the Rfam family "Selenocysteine transfer RNA". RNAcentral also lists the same sequence under 1 other name. The record is from RNAcentral. Lineage: Bacteria; Pseudomonadati; Pseudomonadota; Gammaproteobacteria.
GGAAGAGAAACGCCCCCGGUGGGGCGCGCGGCCUUCAAAGCCGUUGGGGUGCGUCAAGCGUGCCCGGUGGGUUCGACUCCUACCUCUUCCGCCA